Molecule: transfer RNA, 65 nt
Filed under: Hirtitermes sp. A TB-2017
Lineage: Eukaryota; Metazoa; Arthropoda; Insecta; Blattodea; Termitidae
Description: tRNA-Phe
Source: RNAcentral
ACUUGAAUAGCUUAUUUUAGAGCGCGACACUGAAGAUGUCGAUGAGGUAUUAUUAUCUUUGAGUG